This 663-nucleotide small RNA is filed under the name Pongo abelii (Sumatran orangutan). RNAcentral describes it as "retained intron". Lineage: Eukaryota; Metazoa; Chordata; Mammalia; Primates; Hominidae. The record is from RNAcentral.
CCACUGACCCCCCAGAAUACAACUACCUGUACCUGCUCCCUGCCGGCACCUUUGUUGGUGGAUAUUUAGCUGCCCUCUACAGUGGUUAUAACAUUGAACAGAUCAUGUACCUAGGCUCGGGUUUGUGCUGUGUCGGUGCCUUGGCUGGCCUCUCCACCCAGGGAACAGCGCGUCUUGGCAAUGCAUUGGGCAUGAUUGGGGUUGCUGGAGGACUGGCAGCCACCCUCGGAGUCCUAAAACCGGGCCCAGAAUUACUAGCUCAGAUGUCUGGAGCGAUGGCUUUGGGUGGUACCAUUGGUAAGCACUUGUGGGCUUCUGCCUUUAUGUGAACUCCAGUUUCUCAAUAUAUAUUUCUAAGGUCCAUAUUGAUGAAAUAAUUAAAUUGUGUUCAUGGAAAUUGCUUCAGUUAAUAUUAUUUUGGUGAAAAUUCAUUCCAGUUGGUGUAAUUCUCAUUCAAAUACAUUUUAAAACACUGAGUAAAUGCAUCAACUGAGUCAAAAUAUCCUAUACUCAAUUCUUAUCUUCCUUACUGACUGUGUCCCGUUAGCUGAUAAUGGAAUGGGGGAUUGGAAUCCUUAUGUAUGUACUAUACAUAAGCUAACUUUUGUUCUGCUGGGUAUAAAUAACGGCCAAAGAUUCUGCUUCAUAGACCUGUUAAAAAUG